Molecule: long non-coding RNA, 496 nt
Filed under: Marmota monax (woodchuck)
Lineage: Eukaryota; Metazoa; Chordata; Mammalia; Rodentia; Sciuridae
Source: RNAcentral
AAAAAAAAAAAAAUUAUGAACAAACUCAUUAGACCUGAGCAAAUUUGCAGAAGAUUUAACAUAUUACAAUGCUUGUUUUCACAGUUAUCAUUUACAGAAAAUUACAAACCAAAGCAACUAAAAUUUACUCUCUACAAACCUCCUACAAUGGUCUACAUCUAUUUGAGUUUAUUUUUCACUAUCUUCUUACACUUUGGAACAGGCAUUUUACAUUAGGAUGAUGUUACUCUUCCUCUCCUUCUGUCAGCUAGAAGAGUCUCCAUUAUCUUGAUUCACAAUCAUAGUGCUCUACCACUGUUACUUCUAGUACAGGUUCCAUCACCAAUAUUAAUUACGCUCUAAGGAAAAUAACUAACUGCCAUUACAUAGAAAUAAUGGAGGGGUAAGUAAUUGAGAAAUUUCAUUCCCAAGCAUUUUAGAAAAUCACAAAUACAAUCUGGCUUCCUUUUUAAGUAAGAGAAAUCAGCAUGCAUACUAGUUUGAUCCAAAAAUGUAG